GCAUAUCAAUAAGCGGAGGAAAAGAAACCAACAGGGAUUGCCCUAGUAACGGCGAGUGAAGCGGCAACAGCUCAAAUUUGAAAUCUGGCGUCUUUGGCGUCCGAGUUGUAAUUUGCAGAGGGCGCUUUGGCAUUGGCAGCGGUCCAAGUUCCUUGGAACAGGACGUCACAGAGGGUGAGAAUCCCGUACGUGGUCGCUAGCCUUUACCGUGUAAAGCCCCUUCGACGAGUCGAGUUGUUUGGGAAUGCAGCUCUAAAUGGGAGGUAAAUUUCUUCUAAAGCUAAAUACUGGCCAGAGACCGAUAGCGCACAAGUAGAGUGAUCGAAAGAUGAAAAGCACUUUGGAAAGAGAGUUAAAAAGCACGUGAAAUUGUUGAAAGGGAAGCGCUUGCAGCCAGACUUGCCUGUAGUUGCUCAUCCGGGUUUUUACCCGGUGCACUCUUCUACGGGCAGGCCAGCAUCAGUUUGGGCGGUUGGAUAAAGGUCUCUGUCAUGUACCUCCUCUCGGGGAGAUCUUAUAGGGGAGACGACAUGCAACCAGCCUGGACUGAGGUCCGCGCAUCUGCUAGGAUGCUGGCGUAAUGGCUGUAAGCGGCCCGUCUUGAAACACGGACCAAGGAGUCUAACAUCUAUGCGAGUGUUUGGGUGUCAAGCCCGAACGCGUAAUGAAAGUGAACGGAGGUGGGAACCUUUCGGGGUGCACCAUCGACCGAUCCUGAUGUCUUCGGAUGGAUUUGAGUAAGAGCAUAGCUGUUGGGACCCGAAAGAUGGUGAACUAUGCUUGAAUAGGGUGAAGCCAGAGGAAACUCUGGUGGAGGCUCGCAGCGGUUCUGACGUGCAAAUCGAUCGUCAAAUUUGGGCAUAGGGGCGAAAGACUAAUCGAACUAUCUAGUAGCUGGUUCCUGCGAA
RNAcentral lists this ribosomal RNA (908 nucleotides) under Epicoccum nigrum. Its description in RNAcentral is "LSU rRNA". It matches the Rfam family "Eukaryotic large subunit ribosomal RNA", at positions 38 to 964 of the family's 3401-position model. Lineage: Eukaryota; Fungi; Ascomycota; Dothideomycetes; Pleosporales; Didymellaceae. The record is from RNAcentral.